RNAcentral lists this ribosomal RNA (803 nucleotides) under Streptomyces sp. Sp080513GE-09. Its description in RNAcentral is "bacterial SSU rRNA". It matches the Rfam family "Bacterial small subunit ribosomal RNA", at positions 44 to 861 of the family's 1533-position model. The record is from RNAcentral. Lineage: Bacteria; Bacillati; Actinomycetota; Actinomycetes; Kitasatosporales; Streptomycetaceae.
GUGCUUAACACAUGCAAGUCGAACGAUGAACCACUUCGGUGGGGAUUAGUGGCGAACGGGUGAGUAACACGUGGGCAAUCUGCCCUGCACUCUGGGACAAGCCCUGGAAACGGGGUCUAAUACCGGAUACUGACCCGCUUGGGCAUCCAAGCGGUUCGAAAGCUCCGGCGGUGCAGGAUGAGCCCGCGGCCUAUCAGCUUGUUGGUGAGGUAAUGGCUCACCAAGGCGACGACGGGUAGCCGGCCUGAGAGGGCGACCGGCCACACUGGGACUGAGACACGGCCCAGACUCCUACGGGAGGCAGCAGUGGGGAAUAUUGCACAAUGGGCGAAAGCCUGAUGCAGCGACGCCGCGUGAGGGAUGACGGCCUUCGGGUUGUAAACCUCUUUCAGCAGGGAAGAAGCGAAAGUGACGGUACCUGCAGAAGAAGCGCCGGCUAACUACGUGCCAGCAGCCGCGGUAAUACGUAGGGCGCGAGCGUUGUCCGGAAUUAUUGGGCGUAAAGAGCUCGUAGGCGGCUUGUCACGUCGGUUGUGAAAGCCCGGGGCUUAACCCCGGGUCUGCAGUCGAUACGGGCAGGCUAGAGUUCGGUAGGGGAGAUCGGAAUUCCUGGUGUAGCGGUGAAAUGCGCAGAUAUCAGGAGGAACACCGGUGGCGAAGGCGGAUCUCUGGGCCGAUACUGACGCUGAGGAGCGAAAGCGUGGGGAGCGAACAGGAUUAGAUACCCUGGUAGUCCACGCCGUANACGGUGGGCACUAGGUGUGGGCGACAUUCCACGUCGUCCGUGCCGCAGCUAACGCAUU